Molecule: RNA transcript, 3380 nt
Organism: Selaginella moellendorffii
Lineage: Eukaryota; Viridiplantae; Streptophyta; Lycopodiopsida; Selaginellales; Selaginellaceae
Gene name: pentatricopeptide repeat-containing protein At5g27110-like
Exons: 5
Source: RefSeq, a predicted model, not a curated record
AGGUAUCUGGCUAUUCGUUUCGUGAUUUUUUAAUUUUUCUUGCAAAGAUAUUGACGUAGAGCUGGUGCUUGUCGAGGGAUAAGUCAAGCGAUCUUGCUGCAUUGAAGGAACUUGAAACGCUGCAGGUUGUUUAGCAGCGGUGAACUGAUCAGGCUCGAGAAUCCAUAAUCUGUCCUUGAUGGAAACGAAGGUUGGUCCACUUCUGCAGAAACCUCAGGGUCUUUCAGAUGAGGAUGCUCUUGCAGUGUACAGACGAAUGCAACGUCAGGAAUUGAAACCAGCCAUUGGCAUUGUUGUUGGCGCUCUCAAGGUAUGUAGAAGCAUGAGAGAUCUACAACUAGGCAGGAGAAUUCACAGGGAUGUUUCCGAGACAGGUGACUUCUCAAACAUUAUCGUCGCCAACAUCCUGCUUGAUCUGUACGCGAAAUGCGGAAGCAUGAUAGAUGCCCGUGCAGCAUUUAACAGCAUGCCGCAUCGCGAUGUUGUCUCCUGGAAUUCGAUCAUACAGGGAUAUGCACAUAGUGGAAACGGUGACAUGGCUCUACAGUUGUUUGCUCGUAUGGAAGACGAAGGGUACAAACCGGAUCGAGUAUCAGUUCUUGGUGCUCUCAAGGCUUGUUCCAGCUUGAUAGAGAAGGAUUCCGGGCAGGCUUUGGAUGGUCGACGGGUGGUAUUCUUAGAGAGGAGCAGGGAGAUUCACAGGAAAGCAGUAAAACUUGGCAUAGACUCGGAUCUCUUCGUCGCGAGCACGUUGAUUGAUCUUUACGCAAAAUGUGGGAGCUUGACAGAGGCUCGUCGAGUUUUCGAAGGAAUGAGCCAUCGUAGUGUGGUGACAUGGAACUGCAUGAUUCUCGGGUAUGCCGGCAGCGGCGAGGGUGGUGAAGCUCUCGAUAUCUAUGCUCGAAUGCGUCGUGGAGACACUCCACCGGAUGCUUUAACUUUCAUCGCAGCACUGAAAGCUUGUUGCUGUCUCGCAGACGAGGAACUUGGGACAGUUGUUCAUGGUGAAGAAGAAACGCAAGUCUUGAAGAUUCAGAGCUUGGAAAAAGGAAGGGCCGUUCACUUGGAAGCUGGUGAGCACUCGUCAAACAUCUUAGUGACCAACACACUCGUGGAGUUCUAUGCCAAGUGUGGGAGCAUGGUGGAGUCUCGCAGUUUGUUCGACAGUAUUGAACGUCCAGACGUGGUUUCUUGGAACUGCCUCACUCUUGGUUAUGCUCAGAACGGCAAAGGCGAGCAAGCUCUUGAGAUAUUCUUUAGCAUGGAUGAGAAUGGUUGCGCUCCAGAUCGUGUCACAGUUCUUGCUGCACUAAAGGCCUGCGUCACCUUGGCUGAGAAGGAACAGGGCCAGAUUGUCGACGGAGGCGUCGUUAAGCUUCGGGCUUUGGAGAGAGGCAAGGCCGUGCAUGCUCGAGCUCUCGCUUUUGUGGACGGAGAAGACCUCUCUGUUCAUAAUGCUCUCGUUGACAUGUACGCCAAGUGUGGAAGCAUGGUGGAUGCUUGGCUGGUUUUCGAAGAUAUGGUGGUGCGAGAUGUGAUAUCUUGGACGGGGAUAAUCCUGGGGUAUGCUUGCGGCGGCCAGCACAAGCUCGUCUUACAAUCGUUUGAAAGCAUGCAAGAGGAAGGUGUUAAGGGAGAUCAUGUCACUGCUACUACUGCAUUUAAGGCUGUUGCGACUCUAACGGAGAAAGAAGACGGCAAGCUUGUGAAGAAAUGGUUGGAAAAAGGCAGAGCUCUCCACUUGCAAGUCGCAGGGAUUUGCGAACUGGAUGUCUACUUUGCUAGUGUCCUGGUGGAUAUGUAUACGAAGUGUCGAAGCAUGGAGGAUGCUCGGGGAGUCUUCGACAGCAUCAAAGGUCGGGACCUUGUUCUUUGGAACUCCAUGAUCUUGGGAUACAGUCAGUGUGGAGAACCCGAGCGAGCUUUGGAGUUUUACACUCGGUUGCUGCAAGCGAAAAGCUUGGAACCGGACGGGGUGACUUACGUUGCUGUUCUCAAAGCCUGCGCCAGCCUUGCAGCACUGGACUUCGGGCAGCAGAUUCACGUCCAAGCUUGCAGCGCUGGACUGGAUACAGAGCCAUCGGUGGGAAGCUCUCUCGUUAGCUUCUACGGGAGGUGUGGAAGCAUGGCCGAAGCCGAGGAGGCGUUUGAGGCAAUCACGGACAAGACGGUGGUGGCAUGGAGUGCUCUCAUGGCGGGAUACAGCAGCCAGGGCGACAGCCUGCGGGUCUUUGAGCUCUUCGAGGCCAUGAAGCGUGAACGAGUACGUCCAGACGGCGUCACCUUUGUCUCGGUGCUCACGGCAUGCAGCCACGCCGGGCUGGUUGACAAGGGACGUGAGUUCUUCGAGGCCAUGAGCAGCGAGUAUGGAGUGGUUCCAAACGUCCAGCACUACACUUGCUUGGUGGAUCUUCUGUGCCGGGCAAAUCGGCUAGACGAAGCGCUCAAGACCGUGGAGGCGAUGCCUUGCAAGGCGGACGCGGUGCUGUGGACGGCGCUGUUAAGUUCAUGCCUCAAGUGGAGAGAUGUGGAGCUUGGCAGGAUGGCUUUCCAGUCGGUUCUCAAGCUCGACGAUGGAACAGGCUCCGCGUACUCUCUCAUGUCCAACAUCUAUGCGCGAGGUGAGUCGGAUUUACAGCUCCAAGACAAAGCUUCAUAGUCAUGGGAAACAGUCAUGGGAACGAUUUAAUGCUCCACUGACUGACGCUACUGUUGGAGAGAAACGACAUGUGUUACUUCACUUCUAUCUCAGGUUGCGUUGUUGUCUUUCUUUCUUAUCAGUAACUAACGAAGAUUUCCCUUCUUGAGCUUUCUCCGCUGUUAAGUCGGACACUUUCGGCUGCUGGCAAUUCCUGAAACGUCGGUUCACGGUAUUCGAUAGGCGCUGGUAUAUCCCGCACAAAGGAACAAAAACAAGGUGAGACCCCGUUUUGACCCGCAUUUUAAAACCGUAACGAUGGCAACAUCUCCUUGAAUGGAUAGACACCAGCACAGCAGCAGCCAUCCAUGGUUUGCGGACAUGGUAAAAAGCUCGCUCGCGGUGGUGUAGUAACUUUUGGGCGCAACAAGGACAUCGAUGUUGUUUGUGUUGGAAAUGUGUUUUUUCGUUUCUUCAGAGGGCCUGGGAGAUGUCUUCCAUCCGUCCACAGUGCGAUUCAUGCACCAGCAGUGGCUCACACACCAAAAAAAAAAAGGAAAAGAACACCGUAGAUGCCUCGAAAAAGGAAGGCAUUCACCAAUUUGGAAGGAGCUCGCUCGAGCUUGAUCAAGCUUCCAAGCGUGAAGAAUCGUUUCCUUCCAUCCAUCAGACUUUAUAGUCUCUCCGUGAUCCGUGAUCCUAGGAACACUUCCUCUCAAAAGUAAAAAUGCUUCUUUUGGGA